UAAGGUUCGAUUCGAGCGAAAGCGAGAAAGCGUUGCCGCAGGCAACGACCCGAAGGGCGAAACGCGCAGCGCUGAGUCAUCCUUCCCCCACCACCA
RNAcentral lists this small RNA (96 nucleotides) under Salmonella enterica subsp. enterica serovar Infantis. RNAcentral's name for it is "partial RtT sRNA". It matches the Rfam family "RtT RNA", at positions 37 to 130 of the family's 130-position model. From Rfam's summary of the family: This family represents a bacterial cis-regulatory element known as RtT RNA. The exact function of RtT is unknown although it is thought that it may be involved in changing the cellular response in relation to amino acid starvation. RNAcentral also lists the same sequence under 4 other names. Lineage: Bacteria; Pseudomonadati; Pseudomonadota; Gammaproteobacteria; Enterobacterales; Enterobacteriaceae. The record is from RNAcentral.